GCGGGCAAUUGGGCUGGAAUUCGCUUUCCCAGUCUGACCACACAACCCUAGCCUCCUCUCUAACCCUAACCCUUCCUCCCCAUAGCGAAAAACCUUCAUAGCUCCUCGACGGCGGCGACUGAACGCAUGCUGAUCUAGGGGCGGCGCCAGAUUCGACUGUUGUCUCCGGGUUUGGCCCUUGCGGAGGUCUUAACAAUGUUGUCGAGGGCAUUUGGUGGUUACAAGAGCAGUUUCUCGGCAGAUCUCUCCGUGCAGGCCUUACACCGCGCGUUUGGUACCCUUUUGCAGUUCGAUAGGAAUCAUCAGGCUCACCAGCUACAUGGUCAUCCAGUCUCACCUGAUGGUUUUCCCCAAGAGCAUAGCAGGGGCGUUCCGUCAGCCUGUAUGUUUGAACCAACUGGUACUGUUUGUGGAAGCUUUGAUCAAAAGUUGGCCACACUGAGGAGCAUUGGGGAUUGUGUCAGUGAAUAUGAGCUCAGUGUGCUGUUGAAGAAGAUACCUGUCCCUGUUUGUUAUGUUUGGUGUGAUCCCUCCCCCUGGAUGCAUAUAACCCAGGGGAUCUCAAUGACAAGUAAUGUUAAUAAGAUGGUUAAAGCUGGUUUCGAAGUUAAACUAUUGAUGGCAGAUUGGUUUGCUCGAAUGGACCCUCAGAUCACGAUGAAGGUUGGUAGUGAUCUAAGUAAUAUUCAGACUAUUGGCCGGUAUAAUAUUGAGGUUUGGAAAGCAAUUGGCAUGAACCUUGGUGGGGUUGAGGUCGUGCAGUUGUCGGAUAAAAUAAGUUGCAAAACAGAUGAAUACUGGUCACUUGCAAUGGAUAUUGCAAGAAAAAGCGAUCUGAGCAGAAUAAAGAGUUGGCUUCGUGUUUAUGCAUCAAAAGAUCCAAGCAUGCGUUGUCAAGGAAGUAUUGAUCCUUAUAUGUCCAGAGAAUUUUCAGCUGCUGAAAUAGCUAAUCCUUGCUUGCAGAGCGCUGGUAUAUUAUUGCAGAAGGCGGACGUUUGGCUUUUGAACUUGGAUCAGCAUGGGGGGCACAUAUUAGCUAGGCAGUACUGCAAGCACAUCGAGAGGGAAACUAUACCAAUUGCUUUCUUUAACAAUGUGCUACCAAAUUUGUUAGAGCAUCCUGGAUUUGGGGGUUGUAACGAUACAAGAUGGACCAUCUUCAUGGAAGACUUUGCCUUUUGUUUAUUGCAGGAAGAAGUCUGUUCAAAAAUAGAGGAUGCUUUCUGCCCUCUUAAAAAUGCAAAAUGUAAUCCGUGUUUGGAGUACAUAAAGUAUAUUAUCUUACCUUGGUUUGGAAAAUUUGAGGUGCUGCAGACUGUAGAGAACAGUGGUAUAAAGACGUUCAUGUGCAUGGAAGAGCUUGCUGCUGAUUAUGAAAGUGGCGCUUUGCAUCCAAUUGAUGUGAAGCAGGCGCUUGUCAAGGCAAUAAAUAUGAUGUUGCAGCCUGUCCGUGACCAUUUCAGUAGCAAUGAUGAAGCAAAAGAACUCAAGGAAGCUAUGCAGAUAUUCAACAGUAAUAUCUAGUGAGCAAAAGGUCCACAUGCAGGCGGAUAUUCAUAGGAGCGAACGAGCACACCUGCUCACGGAAUCGCUAGGCAUCCGUUCGCAUUGGGAUCGAGGCCACUGAAGCGGACGCAAUGACAUCAGAGGCAAUGCGAUGAGAGACGGACUGAACUUGGCAAAUAGCCUAGGGUUCCAGCGAGUUGAAGCGGAAUCCGACUCUCUAACGGUGAUCAACUGCUGCUCCGGUCAGAGUACUUGGUGGGACGCGGCGGCAGCGAUAUUCGCGGAAUGUGUGGACAUCUCUACCUUGAUUGGGAAGGUCAACUUUAAGCAUUGUUUUCGAUCAGCAAAUCAAGCGGCACAUGUGCUAACUAAUUUUAGUUAUUGUAAUAAACUUUCUUCUAGUUGAACCGACGAGCCUCCAGAUUGUCUGGUGAGCAAGCUCGUAGACGAUGUAUCUUUAUGCAUUAAUCAAUCAAGCUAGCCAUAAUGGCCUUUC
Triticum aestivum (bread wheat) is the source of this 2002-nucleotide RNA transcript. It is a transcript of the gene named tyrosine--tRNA ligase 1, cytoplasmic, with no coding region annotated. The record is from RefSeq and is a predicted model, not a curated record. The transcript is spliced from 11 exons. NCBI's taxonomy places the organism in Eukaryota, Viridiplantae, Streptophyta, Magnoliopsida, Poales, Poaceae.